Molecule: long non-coding RNA, 318 nt
Organism: Syngnathus acus (greater pipefish)
Lineage: Eukaryota; Metazoa; Chordata; Actinopteri; Syngnathiformes; Syngnathidae
Exons: 3
Source: RefSeq, a predicted model, not a curated record
GGUUCGCAGACAUCUGUAGCCUGAGUUCAUCCAUCUUGUUAGGUAGAGACCUGGCGUUGGUAAGACACAGGCUAGGGAGAGGUGGUUUGAACGGCCGCUUCCGUAGCCUGGUUAGCGCGCCGGCCCUGCAGCCUCGUUUUUGCCUCCUCUCUCUGCGCUGCCUUCGCUUCCUCCCAGCUGGGAUGGUGAUCCAAGGGGAGCUGGGGCGCCUGAUGAUAUCCUCCGGUAUGUUUUGCGAGCGGUGAAACUCCGCUGCGACACUCAACUCGCAGCAAACCCCUAUCCUGAGGAGCUCCUGCCGAGACCGCCUGGGAAAAA